This 495-nucleotide ribosomal RNA is filed under the name Escherichia coli. RNAcentral describes it as "bacterial SSU rRNA". It matches the Rfam family "Bacterial small subunit ribosomal RNA", at positions 100 to 592 of the family's 1533-position model. Lineage: Bacteria; Pseudomonadati; Pseudomonadota; Gammaproteobacteria; Enterobacterales; Enterobacteriaceae. RNAcentral also lists the same sequence under 1 other name. The record is from RNAcentral.
GACGGGUGAGUAAUGUCUGGGAAACUGCCUGAUGGAGGGGGAUAACUACUGGAAACGGUAGCUAAUACCGCAUAACGUCGCAAGACCAAAGAGGGGGACCUUCGGGCCUCUUGCCAUCGGAUGUGCCCAGAUGGGAUUAGCUAGUAGGUGGGGUAACGGCUCACCUAGGCGACGAUCCCUAGCUGGUCUGAGAGGAUGACCAGCCACACUGGAACUGAGACACGGUCCAGACUCCUACGGGAGGCAGCAGUGGGGAAUAUUGCACAAUGGGCGCAAGCCUGAUGCAGCCAUGCCGCGUGUAUGAAGAAGGCCUUCGGGUUGUAAAGUACUUUCAGCGGGGAGGAAGGGAGUAAAGUUAAUACCUUUGCUCAUUGACGUUACCCGCAGAAGAAGCACCGGCUAACUCCGUGCCAGCAGCCGCGGUAAUACGGAGGGUGCAAGCGUUAAUCGGAAUUACUGGGCGUAAAGCGCACGCAGGCGGUUUGUUAAGUCAGA